GGGCCCGCACAAGCGGUGGAUUAUGUGGAUUAAUUCGAUGCAACGCGAAAAACCUUACCUGGCCUUGACAUGUACCGAAUUUAGCAGAGAUGCUUUAGUGCUCGAAAGAGAACGGUAACACAGGUGCUGCAUGGCUGUCGUCAGCUCGUGUCGUGAGAUGUUGGGUUAAGUCCCGCAACGAGCGCAACCCUUGCCAUUAAUUGCCAUCAUUUAGUUGGGCACUUUAAUGGGACUGCCGGUGACAAACCGGAGGAAGGUGGGGAUGACGUCAAGUCCUCAUGGCCCUUAUGGCCAGGGCUUCACACGUAAUACAAUGGUCGGUACAGAGGGAAGCCAACCCGCGAGGGGAGCCAAUCUCAGAAAGCCGGUCGUAGUCCGGAUUGUUGUCUGCAACUCGACUGCGUGAAGUUGGAAUCGCUAGUAA
Molecule: ribosomal RNA, 424 nt
Filed under: uncultured bacterium
Lineage: Bacteria
Description: bacterial SSU rRNA
Rfam family: Bacterial small subunit ribosomal RNA
Source: RNAcentral